GGGGGUAUAGCUCAGCUGGGAGAGCACCUGCCUUGCACGCAGGGGGUCAAGGGUUCGAUUCCCUUUACCUCCACCA
Molecule: transfer RNA, 76 nt
Filed under: Clostridium bowmanii
Lineage: Bacteria; Bacillati; Bacillota; Clostridia; Eubacteriales; Clostridiaceae
Also listed under: 5 other names
Description: tRNA-Ala
Rfam family: tRNA
About the family: Transfer RNA (tRNA) molecules are approximately 80 nucleotides in length. Their secondary structure includes four short double-helical elements and three loops (D, anti-codon, and T loops).
Source: RNAcentral